AUAAACUAUGCCUGCCAGCGAUCCGCCGAAGUUCCUCCGAUGACUCGGCGGGCAGCUUCCGGGAAACCAGAGCUUUUGGGUUCCGGGGGAAGUAUGGUUGCAAAGCUGAAACUUAAAGGAAUUGACGGAAGGGCACCACCAGGAGUGGAGCCUGCGGCUUAAUUUGACUCAACACGGGAAAACUCACCAGGCCCGGACACCGGAAGGAUUGACAGAUUGAGAGCUCUUUCUUGAUUCGGUGGGUGGUGGUGCAUGGCCGUUCUUAGUUGGUGGAGCGAUUUGUCUGGUUAAUUCCGAUAACGAACGAGACUCUAGCCUACUAACUAGGCGUACCCGGUAUCCACAAUCGUGCUACCGGCGAUCAAAUUUCUUCUUAGAGGGACAGGCGGCUUCUAGCCGCACGAGACUGAGCAAUAACAGGUCUGUGAUGCCCUUAGAUGUCCUGGGCCGCACGCGCGCUACACUGAAGGAAUCAGCGUGUCUUCCCUGUCCGAAAGGACCGGGUAACCCGCUGAACCUCCUUUGUGCUAGGGAUUGGGGCUUGCAAUUGUUCCCCAUGAACGAGGAAUUCCCAGUAAGCGCGAGUCAUAAGCUCGCGUUGAUUACGUCCCUGCCCUUUGUACACACCGCCCGUCGCUACUACCGAUUGAAUGAUUUAGUGAGGUCUUCGGACUGGUGCGCAGAGGCCGCUUUCGCGGUCUCUGAUGUUGCCGGAAAGAUGACCAAACUUGAUCAUUUAGAGGAAGUAAAAGUCGUAACAAGGUUU
RNAcentral lists this ribosomal RNA (766 nucleotides) under Kodaianella bicinctifrons. RNAcentral describes it as "SSU rRNA". It matches the Rfam family "Eukaryotic small subunit ribosomal RNA", at positions 1032 to 1802 of the family's 1831-position model. The record is from RNAcentral. Lineage: Eukaryota; Metazoa; Arthropoda; Insecta; Hemiptera; Issidae.